AAUUAAUUAUUAAUAUUUAAUUAAAUGUUCGUGUAAAAAGUUUUAAAUACAGAUUAAAUCCUAUUAAUAGUGUAAUAAUAAGCAAAAGCAAAACUCACAAGAAUUAACUCCUCAUCUUUAGCAGCACAAUGUGGAGCAGGACAAACCCUAAUAUUAGAACCACUAUUAUUCCUAAUAUUACUUAUAUUCUUCCCUCCUUUCCCAACAAUAGCACCAACUUGAGAACUAUGUGCCAACAAUUUC
RNAcentral lists this long non-coding RNA (243 nucleotides) under Medicago truncatula (barrel medic). RNAcentral describes it as "long non-coding RNA (MTRU_LNC003213)". Lineage: Eukaryota; Viridiplantae; Streptophyta; Magnoliopsida; Fabales; Fabaceae. The record is from RNAcentral.